GAGCACGUAGGUGGGUUUGUAAGUCAGAUGUGAAAGCCUUCUGUUCAACGGAAGAAUUGCAUCUGAAACUGCGAGUCUUGAGUGUAGGAGGGGAGAAUGGAACUUCUGGUGGAGCGGUGAAAUGCGUAGAUAUCAGAAGGAACGCCGGCGGCGAAAGCGAUUCUCUGGCCUAUUACUGACACUCAGUGUGCGAAAGCUAGGGGAGCAAACGGGAUUAGAUACCCCGGUAGUCCUAGCCGUAAACGAUGGGCACUAAGUAGAGGGAAUUACCGAUAUUCUCUCUGCCGUAGCUAACGCAUUAAGUGCCCCGCCUGGGGAGUACGGCCGCAAGGCUAAAACUCAAAAGAAUUGACGGGGGCUCGCACAAGCGGUGGAGCAUGUGGCUUAAUUCGAUGCAACGCGAAAAACCUUACCGGGGCUUGACAUGGUAGAAGUAGGAACCCGAAAGGGUAACGAACGGUAUCCAGUCCGUAACUAUUACAGGUGUUGCAUGGCUGUCGUCAGCUCGUGUCGUGAGACGUUGGGUUAAGUCCCCUAACGAGCGAAACCCUUGUUUUUAGUUGCCAGCGGGUUAUGCCGGGCACUCUAGAAAGACUGCCGUCGUCAAGACGGAGGAAGGUGGGGACGACGUCAAGUCAUCAUGGCCCUUAUGCCCCGGGCUGCACACGUGCUACAAUGGCCGGUACAAACGGAAGCGAAGCCGAGAGGUGAAGCGAAUCC
RNAcentral lists this ribosomal RNA (720 nucleotides) under uncultured anaerobic ammonium-oxidizing bacterium. RNAcentral's name for it is "bacterial SSU rRNA". It matches the Rfam family "Bacterial small subunit ribosomal RNA", at positions 565 to 1274 of the family's 1533-position model. The record is from RNAcentral.